AACGAACGCUGGCGGCAUGCCUAACACAUGCAAGUCGAACGAGACCUUCGGGUCUAGUGGCGCACGGGUGCGUAACGCGUGGGAACCUGCCCUUAGGUUCGGAAUAACUCCCCGAAAGGGGUGCUAAUACCGGAUAAUGUCUUCGGACCAAAGAUUUAUCGCCUUUGGAUGGGCCCGCGUUGGAUUAGCUAGUUGGUAGGGUAAAAGCCUACCAAGGCGACGAUCCAUAGCUGGUCUGAGAGGAUGAUCAGCCACACUGGGACUGAGACACGGCCCAGACUCCUACGGGAGGCAGCAGGGGGGAAUAAUGGACAAUGGGCGAAAGCCUGAUCAAGCAAUGCCGCGUGAGGGAUGAAGGCCUUAGGGUUGUAAAGCUCUUUUACCCGGGAUGAUAAUGAGAGUACCGGGAGAAUAAGCUCCGGCUAACUCCGGGC
This 434-nucleotide ribosomal RNA is filed under the name uncultured bacterium. RNAcentral describes it as "partial 16S ribosomal RNA". It matches the Rfam family "Bacterial small subunit ribosomal RNA", at positions 29 to 508 of the family's 1533-position model. The record is from RNAcentral.